GGGGUUGUCAUGGUUUCGACAGGUCUAAGUUGGAUUCAGACUGCAGUGGGGCGGCUGCCUAACAGCCAACAAAAAAUAACUGGAAAAUCUUUUUUAGCUAAUCUGUUCGGUGGAAACCGUCAGGUUGCUUUCGCUGCUUAAUAUCUCAGCAUAGAGAUUGCAGCUGCUGCCGGUGAUUCUUUCUUCAGGUUGCCGGACAGUAUCAGAAAUGAAGGAUAAGGAGAUUCGGAGUCUGGACGGAUUUCCCGACAAUCAACAGACAAACUCAGAUAGUUUUGUCCGUUAACAUAUCUGUUUUAUAAGCAAACGGAAUAAACUGUAGAUGUCUGAAUGGGGACUAUUCCUGGACCGGGGUUCGACUCCCCGCAGCUCCACCA
Molecule: non-coding RNA, 377 nt
Organism: Holdemania filiformis DSM 12042
Lineage: Bacteria; Bacillati; Bacillota; Erysipelotrichia; Erysipelotrichales; Erysipelotrichaceae
Source: Rfam